RNAcentral lists this ribosomal RNA (558 nucleotides) under uncultured bacterium. RNAcentral describes it as "bacterial SSU rRNA". It matches the Rfam family "Bacterial small subunit ribosomal RNA", at positions 338 to 916 of the family's 1533-position model. The record is from RNAcentral.
CCUACGGGAGGCAGCAGUGGGGAAUCUUGCACAAUGGAGGAAACUCUGAUGCAGCGAUGCCGCGUGAGUGAAGAAGGCCUUUGGGUUGUAAAGCUCUUUUGUAGGGGAAGAUAAUGACUGUACCCUAAGAAUAAGGUCCGGCUAACUUCGUGCCAGCAGCCGCGGUAAUACGAAGGGACCUAGCGUAGUUCGGAAUUACUGGGCGUAAAGCGCGCGUAGGCCGUUGAGUUAGUUAAUUGUGAAAUCCCAAAGCUUAACUUUGGAACUGCAAUUAAAACUGCUCGACUAGAGUUUGAUAGAGGAAAGCGGAAUACAUAGUGUAGAGGUGAAAUUCGUAGAUAUUAUGUAGAACACCAGUUGCGAAGGCGGCUUUCUGGAUCAACACUGACGCUGAGGCGCGAAAGUAUGGGUAGCAAAGAGGAUUAGAUACCCUCGUAGUCCAUACCAUAAACGAUGAUUGCUAGAUGUUGGAAAUUUAUUUUCAGUAUCGCAGCUAACGCAUUAAGCAAUCCGCCUGGGGAUACGACCGCAAGGUUAAAACUCAAAAUGAAUUGACGG